GGCCGUGUGGCGAAAUGGCAUCGCGUCUGACUACGACUCCGCACGAAUCAGGAGAUUGCAGGUUCGACCCCUGUCUCGGUCA
RNAcentral lists this transfer RNA (82 nucleotides) under Agrocybe pediades. RNAcentral's name for it is "tRNA-Arg". It matches the Rfam family "tRNA". From Rfam's summary of the family: Transfer RNA (tRNA) molecules are approximately 80 nucleotides in length. Their secondary structure includes four short double-helical elements and three loops (D, anti-codon, and T loops). The record is from RNAcentral. Lineage: Eukaryota; Fungi; Basidiomycota; Agaricomycetes; Agaricales; Agrocybaceae.